GUAGGUGAACAGGAAACGCCUUUCAGAUCCAAGCUGGAGCUGAUGACUUUCUCUAACAAGAAGACGCGCACUGUAAGGAUGCGACAGACUUCAGGCCAAACGUCGGCAGCUUAGCGACGCACUCACCAUGCUGCAAGCGCUACCGGUCUCCGAGAAGCGACCACACAACCACUCAGCUCGCUCGCCCUACUCGGACUAAUUCUCCUCCUCCGCCCCCAGCGCCUCAUAAACACCUCCCUCCGCCAGAUCCCUCCGCCGCAUGCCAGAUAACGGAACAUCGCAAACGAGUCCCGGCCAACCCCCUCCUCUCUAACUCUUUUCAAGACUCAUUUAUCCAUUGUUAUUUACUCGACGAGGCAAGAGAUAAAGGGAAGCGGGCGAACGAAUGACGUGAGUGGGUUUCACUCUCCAGCCAGCCCGUUGAAAGGCCAGUGGAGUCGCGCUCGAAGGGCCCUACUUUGCGGCGCGGAGGAGCAUCGUGGUGGCGAUUUGUAGUCCGACAAUCGUUGAGCCGGCCUCCGAUUGGCUGGUUCGUACCUGCAAUGCGUCACUCGAGCUCGCAGCCGCCGCCGGGACGCGGUGCGGCUUCUGCCGUUGCUGGUCUGGCCGCGCUGUCCUGGCAACUGCGCCAGGCGGCAGAGUCGCUUCCCUUGCGCUUGGCUGGAGAACCUUCCUCCUCCACCCAUCCUUCUCUCCCACACUCACACACACACUUUCCCGCCCCUUGUGCAGGGGUAGGCGAAAACACCUUAGGCAGAUAAAGAAUGACGCUGAAAGACCCCAGGAAACCUGUACCCCGCGCUCAGCUUCUCGGCCUCGUGGAGGUCACACGUUUUCCAUUUUACUCCACGAAACCAAUAAAAAUCUAGGUAUGUACCCAGAAGAACUGAAAGUAAGAUCUUGAAGAGCUAUUGGUAUGCCCAUAUUCAAGGCAGCGUUAUUCGCUAUAGCUAAAACUUGGAAGCAACACAAGAAUGGAUAAGCAAAAUGUGGUAUAUACGUACAAUGGAAUGUUAUUCAGCCUUGAAAAGGAAGAAAAUUCUACAACAUG
Long non-coding RNA from Herpailurus yagouaroundi (jaguarundi), 1051 nucleotides. RefSeq lists it as uncharacterized. NCBI's taxonomy places the organism in Eukaryota, Metazoa, Chordata, Mammalia, Carnivora, Felidae. The record is from RefSeq and is a predicted model, not a curated record. The transcript has 3 exons.